This 267-nucleotide ribosomal RNA is filed under the name uncultured Lysobacterales bacterium. RNAcentral describes it as "uncultured Xanthomonadales bacterium partial 16S ribosomal RNA". It matches the Rfam family "Bacterial small subunit ribosomal RNA", at positions 504 to 770 of the family's 1533-position model. The record is from RNAcentral. Lineage: Bacteria; Pseudomonadati; Pseudomonadota; Gammaproteobacteria; Lysobacterales.
UGUGCCAGCCGCCGCGGUAAUACAGAGGGUGCAAGCGUUAAUCGGAUUUACUGGGCGUAAAGCGUGCGUAGGCGGCUAUUUAAGUCGGAUGUGAAAGUCCUGGGCUCAACCUGGGAACUGCAUUCGAUACUGGGUAGCUAGAGAUCGGUAGAGGGCGGCGGAAUUCCGGGUGUAGCGGUGAAAUGCGUAGAUAUCCGGAGGAACACCGAUGGCGAAGGCAACCGCCUGGGCCUGGUCUGACGCUGAGGCACGAAAGCGUGGGGAGCA